Molecule: ribosomal RNA, 633 nt
Filed under: Unruhdinium jiulongense
Lineage: Eukaryota; Dinophyceae; Peridiniales; Kryptoperidiniaceae
Description: LSU rRNA
Rfam family: Eukaryotic large subunit ribosomal RNA
Source: RNAcentral
UAAGCAUAUAAGUAAGCGGAGGAUAAGAAACUAAACAGGAUUCCCUCAGUAAUGGCGAAUGAACAGGGAUCAGCUCAGGUUGAAAAUCCGGGCCCUCGGCCUUGAAUUGUAGUCUGGAGAGGCAGUGCUAACGAAGGCGCAGGUGUAAGCCUUUUGGAAAAUGCAUCAAUGAGGGUGAGAAUCCCGUAUGUCACUUGUAGCCCUUCGUGAACGGCCUGUCUUCUAAGAGUCGUGUUCCUCGGGAUUGGAGCGCAAAUUGGGUGGUAAAUUUCAUCUAAAGCUAAAUAUAGGUUUGAGACCGAUAGCAAACAAGUACCAUGAGGGAAAGAUGAAAAGGACUUUGGAAAGGGAGUUAAAAGUGCUUGAACUUGCUGAAAGGGAAGCGCAUGGAACCAGUCCGUCUUGGCGAGAUUGUGGCGCAUAAUCGUGAUGGCAUGCCGCCUCAGCGCAAGCGGGGCGGCAGGUCUUAAGCGAGCUUGCGCUGUGCUUCUUGCCUUGCAUGUCAUCGGCAUCCCACUCGUGUGACAAUCCCAGGGACAUGGAAGCAUGGCUGCGGCUGUGUGAAUGUGCUUGGCGAACGCACUGGUGUGCUGCUUGCUGACUAAAUGGUUUCCUGCGACCCGUCUUGAAACC